This 76-nucleotide ribosomal RNA is filed under the name Mycobacterium antarcticum. The record is from RNAcentral. Lineage: Bacteria; Bacillati; Actinomycetota; Actinomycetes; Mycobacteriales; Mycobacteriaceae.
GGCGGCAACAGCGGUAGGGAAACGCCCGGACCCAUUCCGAACCCGGAAGCUAAGCCUACCAGCGCCAAUGAUACUA